RNAcentral lists this transfer RNA (68 nucleotides) under Haplotropis brunneriana. Its description in RNAcentral is "tRNA-Ala". Lineage: Eukaryota; Metazoa; Arthropoda; Insecta; Orthoptera; Pamphagidae. The record is from RNAcentral.
AGGGGAGGGGAGUGAAAUUUAACAUUUGGGUUGCAUUCAAAAAGUAUUGAAUAUAUCAAUCACCCUUA